Pan troglodytes (chimpanzee) is the source of this 3907-nucleotide RNA transcript. It is a transcript of the gene named SKI2 subunit of superkiller complex, with no coding region annotated. The record is from RefSeq and is a predicted model, not a curated record. NCBI's taxonomy places the organism in Eukaryota, Metazoa, Chordata, Mammalia, Primates, Hominidae. The transcript has 28 exons.
GGGCUUACUUCGCAGCGACUACUUGCCGCACUUCCGGGCUGUUGCAGCUGCUGUGACUCCAGGAUGAUGGAGACAGAGCGACUUGUGCUACCUCCUCCAGAUCCCCUGGACCUACCCCUUCGGGCCGUGGAGCUCGGAUGCACGGGGCACUGGGAGCUGCUGAACUUGCCUGGAGCUCCAGAGAGUAGCCUUCCCCAUGGCCUCCCUCCUUGUGCCCCAGAUCUGCAGCAAGAAGCAGAACAGUUGUUUCUGUCAUCCCCAGCCUGGCUGCCUCUGCAUGGUGUGGAGCACUCAGCCCGAAAAUGGCAGAGGAAGACGGAUCCCUGGUCUCUUUUGGCUGUCCUGGGAGCCCCAGUCCCAUCCGACCUACAGGCCCAAAGACACCCAACCACAGGCCAGAUACUGGGUUACAAAGAGGUCUUGCUGGAGAACACAAAUCUCUCGGCCACAACCUCCUUGUCUCUUCGCCGGCCUCCAGGGCCAGCCUCCCAGUCCUUAUGGGGAAAUCCAACUCAGUAUCCCUUCUGGCCAGGGGGGAUGGAUGAACCCACCAUAACAGAUCUGAACACACGGGAGGAGGCUGAGGAGGAGAUAGACUUUGAGAAAGAUCUUCUUACUAUUCCACCUGGUUUCAAGAAAGGCAUGGACUUUGCACCAAAAGAUUGUCCAACUCCAGCUCCUGGACUGCUAAGCCUUAGCUGUCUGUUGGAACCUCUGGAUUUGGGUGGAGGUGACGAGGAUGAGAAUGAGGCAGUGGGACAGCCAGGAGGUCCCAGAGGGGACGCUGUUUCAGCCUCUCCCUGCAGUGCUCCCCUGGCCCGAGCAAGCAGCUUGGAGGACCUAGUGUUGAAGGAAGCGUCCACAGCUGUAUCCACCCCAGAGGCCCCAGAGCCUCCAUCUCAGGAGCAGUGGGCCAUCCCUGUGGACGCCACCUCCCCUGUUGGUGAUUUCUAUCGCCUCAUUCCCCAGCCAGCCUUCCAGUGGGCAUUUGAGCCAGAUGUGUUUCAGAAACAGGCCAUCCUGCACUUGGAGCGGCAUGACUCUGUCUUUGUCGCAGCUCACACAUCUGCAGGAAAAACAGUUGUGGCUGAAUAUGCCAUUGCCCUGGCCCAGAAACACAUGACACGCACCAUCUACACUUCGCCCAUCAAGGCCCUGAGCAACCAGAAGUUCCGGGACUUCCGAAACACAUUCGGGGAUGUGGGGCUGCUCACCGGGGAUGUACAGCUGCACCCGGAGGCCUCCUGCCUCAUCAUGACCACAGAGAUCCUUCGCUCCAUGCUGUACAGUGGCUCAGAUGUUAUUCGGGACCUGGAGUGGGUCAUCUUUGAUGAGGUUCACUAUAUCAACGAUGCCGAGCGUGGGGUCGUGUGGGAGGAGGUGCUUAUCAUGCUACCUGACCACGUUUCUAUCAUCCUUCUGAGUGCCACUGUCCCCAACGCCCUUGAGUUUGCUGACUGGAUUGGGCGACUGAAGCGUCGUCAGAUCUAUGUGAUUAGCACUGUAACCCGCCCCGUGCCCCUGGAGCACUAUCUUUUCACAGGGAACAGCUCCAAGACCCAGGGGGAGCUCUUUUUGUUGCUGGACUCCCGAGGAGCCUUCCAUACAAAAGGGUACUAUGCAGCUGUGGAGGCCAAGAAGGAGAGAAUGAGCAAACACGCCCAGACCUUUGGGGCCAAGCAGCCCACACAUCAGGGGGGCCCUGCACAGGACCGCGGAGUGUACCUGUCCCUCCUGGCCUCCCUCCGCACACGUGCCCAGUUGCCCGUGGUGGUGUUCACCUUCUCCCGGGGCCGCUGUGAUGAGCAGGCCUCAGGCCUCACCUCCCUUGACCUCACCACCAGUUCGGAGAAGAGCGAGAUCCACCUCUUCCUGCAGCGCUGCCUUGCUCGCCUCCGUGGCUCUGACCGCCAGCUGCCCCAGGUCCUGCACAUGUCAGAGCUCCUGAAUCGCGGCCUGGGUGUGCACCAUAGCGGCAUCCUGCCCAUCCUCAAGGAGAUCGUGGAGAUGCUCUUCAGCCGUGGCCUGGUCAAGGUCUUGUUUGCCACAGAGACCUUUGCCAUGGGAGUAAACAUGCCUGCUCGUACAGUAGUGUUUGACUCCAUGCGCAAACACGAUGGCUCCACCUUCCGGGACCUGCUCCCUGGGGAGUAUGUGCAGAUGGCAGGCCGGGCAGGGCGGAGGGGCCUGGACCCCACAGGCACCGUUAUCCUGCUCUGCAAGGGCCGAGUGCCCGAGAUGGCAGACCUGCACCGCAUGAUGAUGGGGAAGCCGUCCCAGCUGCAGUCCCAGUUCCGCCUCACGUACACUAUGAUCCUCAACUUGCUGCGAGUGGAUGCCCUCAGGGUGGAGGACAUGAUGAAGAGGAGCUUCUCUGAGUUUCCCUCCCGCAAAGACAGCAAGGCCCAUGAACAGGCCCUGGCUGAACUGACCAAGAAGCUGGGAGCUUUGGAGGAGCCUGACAUGACUGGCCAACUGGUCGACCUGCCUGAAUAUUACAGCUGGGGGGAGGAACUGACAGAGACCCAGCACAUGAUCCAGCGACGCAUCAUGGAGUCUGUGAACGGGCUGAAGUCUCUCUCAGCAGGAAGGGUGGUGGUUGUGAAGAAUCAGGAGCAUCACAACGCAUUGGGAGUGAUCCUACAGGUCUCCUCGAACUCCACCAGCAGAGUAUUCACAACCCUGGUCUUGUGUGAUAAGCCCUUGUCCCAGGACCCACAGGACAGGGGGCCAGCCACUGCAGAGGUGGCUUAUCCAGAUGACCUCGUGGGAUUCAAGCUGUUCCUGCCUGAAGGGCCUUGUGACCACACCGUGGUCAAGCUCCAGCCAGGAGAUAUGGCUGCCAUCACCACCAAGGUGCUCCGGGUGAAUGGGGAGAAGAUCUUGGAGGACUUCAGCAAGAGGCAGCAGCCAAAAUUCAAGAAGGAUCCUCCCCUUGCAGCUGUGACCACUGCUGUCCAGGAACUGCUGCGUCUGGCUCAGGCCCACCCAGCCGGACCCCCCACCCUCGACCCUGUCAAUGACCUGCAGCUCAAAGAUAUGUCAGUUGUAGAGGGUGGGCUCCGGGCCCGGAAGCUGGAGGAGCUGAUCCAGGGGGCUCAGUGUGUACACAGCCCCCGUUUUCCUGCCCAGCCCUUGUCUUCAGUGCACCCCUGCUAAGGGGCAAGGAGAAGGCUGACGGGUGGCUCUCUGCAGUACCUGAAGCUGCGGGAGCGAAUGCAGAUACAGAAGGAGAUGGAGCGGCUGCGCUUCCUACUGUCGGAUCAGUCACUGCUGCUGCUUCCUGAGUACCAUCAGCGAGUAGAGGUGCUCCGAACCCUGGGUUACGUGGACGAGGCGGGCACUGUGAAGCUGGCAGGGCGGGUGGCUUGUGCCAUGAGCAGCCAUGAGUUGCUCCUCACUGAGCUCAUGUUUGACAAUGCACUGAGCACCCUGCGGCCUGAGGAGAUUGCUGCCUUGCUCUCUGGCCUGGUCUGCCAGAGCCCUGGGGACGCUGGGGAUCAGCUCCCAAACACCCUCAAGCAGGGAAUAGAACGUGUCCGGGCUGUGGCCAAGCGGAUUGGUGAGGUCCAGGUGGCUUGUGGCCUGAACCAGACGGUGGAGGAAUUUGUGGGGGAGCUGAAUUUUGGGCUGGUUGAGGUUGUGUAUGAGUGGGCCCGGGGCAUGCCCUUCUCCGAGUUGGCAGGGCUCUCAGGGACCCCUGAGGGCCUGGUGGUCCGCUGCAUUCAGCGCCUGGCUGAGAUGUGUCGCUCACUGCGGGGGGCAGCCCGCCUGGUAGGAGAGCCUGUGCUGGGUGCCAAGAUGGAGACAGCGGCUACCUUGCUACGGCGGGACAUCGUAUUUGCGGCCAGCCUUUACACCCAGUGAAUGCCCCAUGUAAAAAUGUGAUGAUAAAACAGCAAACCAC